Molecule: non-coding RNA, 82 nt
Organism: Cordylochernes scorpioides
Lineage: Eukaryota; Metazoa; Arthropoda; Arachnida; Pseudoscorpiones; Chernetidae
Source: the annotation of a GenBank genome assembly
CGCAGUCGACAGGAUUCGAACCUGUGCGGGAAGAUCCCAGUGGAUUUCUAGUCCGUCGCUUUCCGCACUCGGUCACCACUGC